Molecule: ribosomal RNA, 440 nt
Filed under: uncultured bacterium
Lineage: Bacteria
Description: partial 16S ribosomal RNA
Rfam family: Bacterial small subunit ribosomal RNA
Source: RNAcentral
CCUACGGGUGGCAGCAGUGGGGGAUAUUGCACAAUGGGGGAAACCCUGAUGCAGCGACGCCGCGUGUGGGAAGACGGUCUUCUGUAUUGUAAACCACUGUCCCCAGGGACGAAAAUGACGGUACCUGGGGAGGAAGCUCCGGCUAACUACGUGCCAGCAGCCGCGGUAAUACGUAGGGGGCAAGCGUUGUCCGGAAUUACUGGGUGUAAAGGGAGCGUAGGCGGGGAUGCAAGUUGGGUGUCAAAACUACCGGCUAAACCGAUAGUCGCACUCAAAACUGCAACUCUUGAGUGAAGUAGAGGCAGGCGGAAUUCCUAGUGUAGCGGUGAAAUGCGUAGAUAUUAGGAGGAACACCAGUGGCGAAGGCGGCCUGCUGGGCUUUUACUGACGCUGAGGCUCGAAAGUGUGGGGAGCAAACAGGAUUAGAUACCCUAGUAGUC